GUCCGACUCUUUGCCACCCCAUGGACUGCAGCACGCCAGGCUUCCUUGUCCAUCACCAACUCCCAGAGCUCACUCAAACUCAUGUCCAUUGAAUCGGUGAUCCCAUCCACUGUUUUAACAACAUUCACAUAUACCACGCUGUUGGCGCUGUGUAGUCGCAAAGUCAUGUUCGACUCUUUGCAGCUCCGUGGACUGUAGCCACCAAGCUUCUCUGUACAUGGAAUUCUACAGGCAGGAAUGCUGAAGCAGGUUGCCAUACCCUCUUCCAGGGGAUCUACACAACCCAAGGACUGGACAUGCGUCUCCUGUGUCUCCUGCAUGCAGGCAGUUUCUUUACUGCUGAUCCACCAGGGGAGCCCGACACACUCUGUCAGGAGUGAAAAAUGGAAGACUUGUGGAACUUAA
This 405-nucleotide long non-coding RNA is filed under the name Capra hircus (goat). Its description in RNAcentral is "lncRNA (ENSCHIG00000004674.1)". Lineage: Eukaryota; Metazoa; Chordata; Mammalia; Artiodactyla; Bovidae. The record is from RNAcentral.